CCAUCAUUCAGUUGGGCACUCUAGCGAGACUGCCGGUAAUAAACCGGAGGAAGGUGGGGAUGGACGUCAAAUCAUCAUGCCCCUUAUGACCUGGGCUACACACGUGCUACAAUGGUUGGUACAACGAGUUGCGAGUCGGUGACGGCGAGCUAAUCUCUUAAAGCCAAUCUCAGUUCGGAUUGUAGGCUGCAACUCGCCUACAUGAAGUCGGAAUCGCUAGUAAUCGCGGAUCAGCACGCCGCGGUGAAUACGUUCCCGGGCCUU
RNAcentral lists this ribosomal RNA (264 nucleotides) under uncultured Streptococcus sp. RNAcentral describes it as "partial 16S ribosomal RNA". It matches the Rfam family "Bacterial small subunit ribosomal RNA", at positions 1118 to 1382 of the family's 1533-position model. The record is from RNAcentral. Lineage: Bacteria; Bacillati; Bacillota; Bacilli; Lactobacillales; Streptococcaceae.